GUGGGGAAUAUUGGACAAUGGGCGAAAGCCUGAUCCAGCCAUGCCGCGUGGGUGAAGAAGGCCUUAGGGUUGUAAACCCCUUUCAGCGGGGAAGAUAAUGACGGUACCCGCAGAAGAAGUCCCGGCUAACUCCGUGCCAUCAGCCGCGGUAAUACGGAGGGGACUAGCGUUGUUCGGAAUUACUGGGCGUAAAGCGCACGUAGGCGGAUUUGUAAGUCAGGGGUGAAAUCCCGGGGCUCAACCUCGGAACUGCCUUUGAUACUGCAAAUCUCGAGUCCGGAAGAGGUGAGUGGAAUUCCUAGUGUAGAGGUGAAAUUCGUAGAUAUUAGGAAGAACACCAGUGGCGAAGGCGGCUCACUGGUCCGGUACUGACGCUGAGGUGCGAAAGCGUGGGGAGCAAAC
This 402-nucleotide ribosomal RNA is filed under the name uncultured bacterium. Its description in RNAcentral is "bacterial SSU rRNA". It matches the Rfam family "Bacterial small subunit ribosomal RNA", at positions 354 to 773 of the family's 1533-position model. The record is from RNAcentral.